This 270-nucleotide ribosomal RNA is filed under the name uncultured bacterium. Its description in RNAcentral is "partial 16S ribosomal RNA". It matches the Rfam family "Bacterial small subunit ribosomal RNA", at positions 793 to 1055 of the family's 1533-position model. The record is from RNAcentral.
GUCCACGCCGUAAACGGUGAGCACUAGAUGUCGGGGGUAUCGACCCCUCCGGUGUCGCAGCUAACGCAUUAAGUGCUCUGCCUGGGGAGUACGGCCGCAAGGCUAAAACUCAAAGGAAUUGACGGGGGCCCCGCACAAGCAGCGGAGCGUGUGGUUUAAUUCGAUGCAACGCGAAGAACCUCACCUAGGCUUGACAUGCACCAAGUAGAACCCUGAAAGGGGGACGACUCGUCGAAUCGAGAGGGUGCACAGGUGCUGCAUGGCUGUCGU